UGUAGUUCAGUGGUAGAGUGAUUGUCUGCUAUGCACGAGGACUUGGGUUCAAUUCCCAGCA
This 61-nucleotide transfer RNA is filed under the name Ictidomys tridecemlineatus (thirteen-lined ground squirrel). RNAcentral describes it as "Spermophilus tridecemlineatus (thirteen-lined ground squirrel) tRNA". It matches the Rfam family "tRNA", at positions 6 to 65 of the family's 71-position model. From Rfam's summary of the family: Transfer RNA (tRNA) molecules are approximately 80 nucleotides in length. The record is from Rfam by way of RNAcentral. Lineage: Eukaryota; Metazoa; Chordata; Mammalia; Rodentia; Sciuridae.